CAUGUGGUUUAAUUCGACGCAACGCGAAGAACCUUACCUGGCCUUGACAUGCAGAGAACUUUCCAGAGAUGGAUUGGUGCCUUCGGGAACUCUGACACAGGUGCUGCAUGGCCGUCGUCAGCUCGUGUCGUGAGAUGUUGGGUUAAGUCCCGUAACGAGCGCAACCCCUAUCCCUAGUUGCUAGCAGUUCGGCUGAGAACUCUAGGGAGACUGCCGGUGACAAACCGGAGGAAGGUGGGGAUGACGUCAGGUCAUCAUGGCCCUUACGGCCAGGGCUACACACGUGCUACAAUGGCGCGCACAGAGGGCUGCAAACCCGCGAGGGGGAGCUAAUCUCACAAAACGCGUCGUAGUCCGGAUCGGAGUCUGCAACUCGACUCCGUGAAGUCGGAAUCGCUAGUAAUCGUGAAUCAGAAUGUCACGGUGAAUACGUUCCCGGGCCUUGUACACACCGCCCGUCACACCAUGGGAGUGGAUUGCACCAGAAGUGGUUAGUCUAACCUUCGGGAGGACGAUCACCACGGUGUGGUUCAUGACUGGGGUGAAGUCGUAACAAGGUAACCGUA
This 566-nucleotide ribosomal RNA is filed under the name uncultured bacterium. RNAcentral describes it as "bacterial SSU rRNA". It matches the Rfam family "Bacterial small subunit ribosomal RNA", at positions 938 to 1504 of the family's 1533-position model. The record is from RNAcentral.